This 253-nucleotide ribosomal RNA is filed under the name uncultured bacterium. RNAcentral describes it as "partial 16S ribosomal RNA". It matches the Rfam family "Bacterial small subunit ribosomal RNA", at positions 524 to 776 of the family's 1533-position model. The record is from RNAcentral.
UACGUAGGGGGCAAGCGUUGUCCGGAAUCAUUGGGCGUAAAGCGCGUGUAGGCGGCUCGGUAAGUCUGUUCUGAAAGUCCAGGGCUCAACCCUGGGAUGCGGAUGGAUACUGUCGAGCUCGAGUCCGGAAGAGGCGAGUGGAAUUCCUGGUGUAGCGGUGAAAUGCGCAGAUAUCAGGAGGAACACCAAUGGCGAAGGCAGCUCGCUGGGACGUGACUGACGCUGAGACGCGAAAGCGUGGGGAGCAAACAGG